Hyaena hyaena (striped hyena) is the source of this 605-nucleotide long non-coding RNA. RefSeq lists it as uncharacterized. Lineage: Eukaryota; Metazoa; Chordata; Mammalia; Carnivora; Hyaenidae. The transcript is spliced from 3 exons. The record is from RefSeq and is a predicted model, not a curated record.
UUGUGAUGACAGAGCCUGGACAUUCCAUGUUGCCUGUUUUUCACAGGAAUGCCAUAGUUUAUGCCAGGGAGUGAGGAGGAAGAACAGAAUAGGAAGAAGCCAAUGAAAGAGACAGAUGCGUCUGGUGGAGGGUUUGGUUGACCCUCGGAGAGUUGGAAGUCUCCCUCUUCUCAUUACAGCAAGCAGUCAGAUACCGCCCGUUUCAUUUGUGUCCAAUCUGUCAGCAAAACAAGUGUUUGUACUUAGGAAAGCUUUUGUGUAGUUGUGUUUGUGGCUUUAAAGUAAAAUUCAAAAGAAAUAGAGAGGAAGCAAUACAGGGGAAACUUUCUGGCGAGAUAAGAAAACAGAGGCUAGGAGAAUUUGAGUUAUGGUCCAACACAACCAUCAUGAUGUCAACUCAACAGCUUGGCUCAGGAAAAUAAAAUUAUUUACUAAAUGAAACCCAAGAUCCAAUAUGAGGAGCGUGAAGUGUAAUGACUUCAUUCCAUGGAAGAAAGAACAGAAGCCAGAAUUGUCAGUCUCUCUUGUAUUAUUCCUACAGCCUUUUGUGGUUUCCUGUGGCACUUCUGUGGGCUGCAUUAUUAAGUAUAAGUUGACUCUUCUGA